RNAcentral lists this long non-coding RNA (3951 nucleotides) under Brassica rapa (field mustard). RNAcentral's name for it is "long non-coding RNA (BRAP_LNC007114)". Lineage: Eukaryota; Viridiplantae; Streptophyta; Magnoliopsida; Brassicales; Brassicaceae. The record is from RNAcentral.
CCACCUAGGAGUAUAUAGCAGCCACGGUUUGAAACGCAAAAGUUGUUUGUUACUCUUUUUUUGUAUAAUACCCAGGUUUUGGCCCACUAAACUGAAGGAUCCCAUGCCUUCAUUGAAGAAUCUUCUGACUACAGCUACGCGAUCAACAUCCUUACCAACUCGAGCCUCGCACGAGUCCUUGUAUCUUAUGUAGACAAUUGCAAAUAAGUCGAGUCCCUCUUGGGUACUAGUAGUAUCUAUAGCUACUUUGACAAUCUUCAAGUUGGACACAAGAUGGUUCUCAAGGGUGUCCCUAUUCGACGCGGCAACUGCGAGUUUCAAGUAUAGACGAAUCCAAUCAUCAUUCCCUCGCAACUCUGACUUCUUCAGCUGCAAGAAAACAUAUUAAAAAUCACGAGAAGAAAAAAAAAACAAAAAGCAAAGGUGCAAUGUAAGGGUUGGGGGGUGUCUUAGCCUCACAACGUAACAUCGGUUUGAUUUCUUAAAAGGAUUCUUGGGCGGCCACUCAGGAAAGGUAUGGAACAAGUCUUCCACAGGUUUGUGAUCACUGCUUUUUUUGAUUUCACAUAUGUGGGUUUCGCCUAUAAAAGAUCAAAAUCAGCAAUGUGAUAAGACUUGUUGUAUACUAAAAAAACAAAUGAAAUUACCUAGAGGUCUAGCAAUACAGCAAUCCAAAACCAAUUCGCCAUAGCGUAGUUCAUUAACUCUAGUCUGAAAAGUUUGAGGCAACUGGGUAGCUGGAUCAAUAGCUACCAAAGUUAUGUAGUAAGCGGAAGCAGCAGAACCCAUGGACUGGUUGUAUUUCUUAACGCUGCUGAGCUGUAAGUUUUUCCCCUAGUUGAUCAAGAAACAAAGAAAUCGAUUGGGAUAAUAGCAUAUAUAUAUAGAUAAAGAAAGCAGGGGUGGUGGUUAUAAUACCUGGACCAAAUUGUAACGAUGAAGGCCCAACUUGGCAUAAAGGAGGAUUAAGGGGGAACAAGUAUCAUUACAGAUGAAUUCAAUUAGUCCAGGAGCAAAGUCUGGUACUGGAAGACCACUGACAUCGAACCCCUAUGACGACAACGACACAUUAAUUAGACAUGUAACCAACCCCUAGAACUAGAAGCAUAAAGACAAUUAAAAAAUAUUACCUCGGAUUUAUUCACUUCUUCCAAAUAGCUGCUCCUACGGCGAUCAACCUCCUUCCUUGAAUACCCAGACAAGAAAGCAACCAUCGUCGAGCCGCGGAUGCUUUUUUUUUAAAAUUCUUUUCCUCUUCUUUUGGUCGACUUAGGUUAUAUAUAAUGUUAUAUAUUUUUAAGUUUUAUACAUAACUUAUUUUAUUUUUUGUAUCUGAUUAUUUUAGUUAUUUUCCUUAAACAUGAUAAAUGUUUGGGUUACAUAAUUUUAGUUUUUCUAUCUAAAUUUUAUAAAUAAUUUUUUAGUGAUAGCUUUGAAAUUAUGUUAUGUUUUAAUAUAAAAUACACAUUUAAAUGUAAAAUAAAAAUUAUUGAAAGGUUGUAUUAAUAUACAAUCUCACAAAAUAUAUAAUAGUAUAAUUUUAUUUGUUUUAAAAACAGAUUUAUUAAGUUUAUGUAAAUUAUGAUAACAUUUUAGUUAUAACUACGAAAUUAGUUUUUUUUGAAAUUAUGUUAUGCUUUUAUAUUAAAUGAACAAAAGUAUCUGAAAGGGAAAUUGUCACAAAUACUACAUUCAUAGUACCACUUAUUAUGCUUACACUAAUCAUUUUUACCAUCACUUUUAGUGAAGAGUAAAAGAUAUUUAUACCCCUAUGAUUAACUAAUCUAAACCUAGGGUUUAGAGUUGAAGGGUGGAGUGAGGUUUUUGGAACGUUAAAUUUAGGAUUCUAGUAAAUAUAUAAAUAAAUACUUAAAAAGAUAUAAAAUUUUGUUUUAACACCGGAAGUUUGUUUAUCAUAGGGCUGGGCAAAUAAACCGAACCCGAAAAUCUGAACCGAACUCAAUCCGAUAAAAACGAAUCCGAACCGAUCCGAACCCGACAUAAAUACCGAAUGGAUCAUGCUUUUUGGUAUUUUGGGUUAUGGGUAUUAUCCGAACCGAACCCGAACCUAAAUGGAUAUCCGAUAUAACCCGAAACAUAUAAAAUGACAAAUAGAACUUCUACCAAAUAUGAUCUUAAUUCUUAAUAUGUAUCCAAAAUACUUUAAGAUAUUAUUGAACUUCUAAAAUAAUUAUCUAUUACAUAAAGGUUGAUGGUGGAAUGUGGCGGUUGAAGCCUAAAGUUUUUAGAUUUUGUUUUGUUUUCAUUGAAUAAUGUUUCUCAUUUCAUGAGAACUUAGUUUUUGUUUUAUGAUUUCAUUUAUCUUGUUUUCUUUUUAUCACUAACUAUGUUUAUCUUUCGCUUGAUUUUGAAUGAUCACGUUUGAUGUUUUUUCUUAUUUUUGAAUCAAUUUUACUUAUGUUUUGGUUAUUAAAAUAUGUACAAAUCAUUUAUUUUAAAUCCGAAAAACCGAUUUCAUUUAUGUUUUAGUUAUAAAAUAGUUACAAAUCAGGUAUUUUUAAACCGAAUAACCGAUUGGGACCCAACCCGAAAGUACAAUGGGUUAUACCGGUUCUUUGAAGAUUUACUAACCCCGACCCGAACCCGAUAGAACCCGAACCGGUCCCGAACCGAACUUUUAUAUAACCCGAAUGGGGUUGAUUUUGAUAAACCCGAAAAACUAAAACUCGAAUGGAUAAAACCGAAACCCGAUUGGGACCCCGAAUGCCCAUGCCUAGUUUAUCAUUUUGAGAUGAGAUAUAUGCAAUUUCAUGUUGUCUGUGUUUUGCUGAUAAAUAUUAAUAAAAUUUAAUGUCACACUAGAAUUCGAUCCGCGCAACCGCGCGAGUUUUUUUUUUCAUUUAUUUUUAUAUAAAUAUUUUUUUUUCAAUUCAAAAUUGGUAUAUAUUAUAAUAUAUAUGUGUCUAUCAAUUUUUAAAACAUAAUAAGUUUACGGUAUAUUUUUUUCAUUGAAUUGAUUGUUUCAAACUUUCACAUGUUUUUGUAUAUUCUUAUAUAUAUAUUUUUCGGAUUAUUAUUUUAUUGUUAAAAUCGUAAUUAUAUAUAUAAAUAUUAGUAAAAUAUUGUUUUAUCGUCAUAUUUAAAGAUAUUGUAACAUUUCACAAAUUUAAAAAGUUUUUAAAAAAUUAAAAUUUGCGUUUCAUAGAUUUAUUAUCGAGUAAAUAAUUAUACAUUUAGUUUUUGUUUAAUUUUUAAAAUAAACUAUAUUGUUUUAAAUUUUUUUCAUUGGUUUAAUGUAGUAAAUAUUAAUUAUUGUUAGAUAAUAUGAUUUUUGUUAUUUAAAAAAUAAUCAUUAUAAUUUUAAAAGUUAACAUCGACAAAUAUUUAAAUAAUUAACAUAUGAAAAUAUAAUAUUACAAUAUUAAAUUAUAUCUAUUUAAUUUAUAUUAUCAAUAAAUCCAAUGGAUCAUCUAUUGUUUAAAUCCAAUUAAUGAUAACCCAAUAAAAAUUUGUGGCAGGCCCAAAAUUUAAUUGAUAAGAUUAAAGAUUAAAUGUAACAUGACUUUCUAGGAAUAUGUUAAUUAAGGCCAUUUUUAAAAAAAAAUCACUCAUGAAUCAAAGUUGUGACUUCUGUUUUGCACUCUGAUUUUUUUCCCUUUUUGGUAAAAUCAUCUCUGAACGUGAAUUGGCUCAAGAAAAACUUGAUGGAUCUCGUCUUGGGCACACGACGAGACAAGGUAAGGCCACUGUGUCUGUAUGCCUUGAGCCGCCACCUAGGAGUAUAUAACAGCCACGGUUUGAAACGCAAAAGUUGUUUGUUACUCUUUUUUUGUAUAAUACCCAGGUUUUGGCCCACUAGACUGAAGGGUCCCAUGCCCUCAUUGAAGAAUCUUCUGACUACAGCUACGCGAUCAACAUCCUUACCAACUCGAGCCUCGCACGAGUCCUUGUAUCUUAUGUAGACAAUUGCAAAUAAGUCGAGUCCCUCUU